Molecule: long non-coding RNA, 914 nt
Filed under: Medicago truncatula (barrel medic)
Lineage: Eukaryota; Viridiplantae; Streptophyta; Magnoliopsida; Fabales; Fabaceae
Description: long non-coding RNA (MTRU_LNC007777)
Source: RNAcentral
UGUCACAUAUUAAAUUGUUGAAUUAAAAAAAUGAAAAAGGAAAGGAAGAAGAAGAGGCACACGUUCAUCAAUCCAGCAACAUCAUCAUUAAUCUCCUUCAUCUUCUUCUCAACCAAAAUCUAUAAAAUCCAGAAAAUACAACAUGAAUCUCUUCAACAACAACAACAAUCUCGUCAACAACAACAACAAUCUUCAUAAAAAAAUCCAGAAAAUCAUCUCAAAAUCCCAAAUUGUUUCUAUUCGAUUUGCAAUAGCUAUUCCGACCUGGAUCAAUAAAAUAUCUCUUUUAAUUUAAUAAUCCAAGUAUGCAUAUUUCGUUCAUCAAAAUCAUUGAAGAACAAAACACCAAAAAACAUGAAGAAAAACCUGUUUCAGGAGGACAUGCAGCUACUAGAAAGAAGCUACAAACCGAAGCAAUUUCAAGAAUACUUACUAUUUUAACAGUAUUCAGCAAAAACCGUUCUCUCCCAGCACCUUCCCUCUCCUUCCGUUCUCUCCCACCACCACAAUUCCUCCCUCCAUCAUUGUUGAAACUUCAACUGUAACGGAAAAUGCUACGAAUGAAACUUAAGAUUACAGGUUGCAAGAGGAUGAGAGAGCUUCGAUCUGUACAGAAGGAUGAAAGAGCAUCGAGAAAACGGAUAGAAAUCAAGCAAAAUCGACGAAAACAACGCCACCGGAGCUUCACCGGAAAAAGCGGGUGAGGAAAGAGAAGAGAGCAUGAGAGUUUGUGAUGAAGGAGUUAUGGAUUUUUAGGUUCAAUUUGUGGAAAGAUGAUUUUGAGGAUUUUAGGUAACACAAUCACUAUUGAUUUUGGAUUUAGGAGAAGAAUUGAAGAACGGUGAUGGUUCUUCUUCUCCCAAAGGUUUCAAAACAAAUCACCAACGUGCCAUCAUUUUUCAAUUCCUUUUUUC